This 429-nucleotide ribosomal RNA is filed under the name bacterium. Its description in RNAcentral is "partial 16S ribosomal RNA". It matches the Rfam family "Bacterial small subunit ribosomal RNA", at positions 355 to 776 of the family's 1533-position model. The record is from RNAcentral.
UAGGGAAUCUUCGGCAAUGGGGGCAACCCUGACCGAGCAACGCCGCGUGAGUGAAGAAGGUUUUCGGAUCGUAAAGCUCUGUUGUAAGAGAAGAACGUGUGUGAGAGUGGAAAGUUCACACAGUGACGGUAACUUACCAGAAAGGGACGGCUAACUACGUGCCAGCAGCCGCGGUAAUACGUAGGUCCCGAGCGUUGUCCGGAUUUAUUGGGCGUAAAGCGAGCGCAGGCGGUUUAAUAAGUCUGAAGUUAAAGGCAGUGGCUUAACCAUUGUUCGCUUUGGAAACUGUUGAACUUGAGUGCAGAAGGGGAGAGUGGAAUUCCAUGUGUAGCGGUGAAAUGCGUAGAUAUAUGGAGGAACACCGGUGGCGAAAGCGGCUCUCUGGUCUGUAACUGACGCUGAGGCUCGAAAGCGUGGGGAGCAAACAGG